UACGAAGGGUGCAAGCGUUACUCGGAAUUACUGGGCGUAAAGCGUGCGUAGGUGGUUCGUUAAGUCUGAUGUGAAAGCCCUGGGCUCAACCUGGGAAUGGCAUUGGAUACUGGCGACCUAGAGUGCGGUAGAGGGGUGUGGAAUUCCCGGUGUAGCAGUGAAAUGCGUAGAUAUCGGGAGGAACAUCGGUGGCGAAGGCGGCCAUCUGGACCGGAACUGACGCUGAGGCGCGAAAGCCAGGGGAGCGAAUGGG
RNAcentral lists this ribosomal RNA (253 nucleotides) under uncultured bacterium. Its description in RNAcentral is "partial 16S ribosomal RNA". It matches the Rfam family "Bacterial small subunit ribosomal RNA", at positions 524 to 776 of the family's 1533-position model. The record is from RNAcentral.